ACUGCUUUGAACAUCGACAUCUUGAACGCACAUUGCGGCCAUGGGCUAGCUCAUGGCCACGCCUGUCCGAGGGUCGGCUUAUAAACUAUCACGACGCCCAAAAAGUCGUGGCUUGGGUCUUGCCAGCUGACGUGAUUUCCCUAUUUGUGCAAACGAACGGGGUGUCAGAUCUAUGGCGUUUCCCUAAUAAUUCCAGUUACAACUCCUUUUGGCUGAAGGCCAUAUUGGAGGGUGAUUGUGGAGUCGUGGCUCAAUGGUAAUGUUUGUGCGCGCUCUGCAUGUUCACCGCUGUAUCUGUCUAAUGUGAAAUGCUUUUCGCAUUUUACCUGACCUCGGAUCAGACGUGAAUACCCGCUGAACUUAAGCAUAUCACUAAGCGGAGGAAAAGAAACUAACAAGGAUUCCCUCAGUAACGGCGAGUGAACAGGGAAAAGCCCAGCACCGAAGCCUGUGGCCAUUUGGUCAUUAGGCAAUGUGGUGUUUAGGUCGUUCCGCAGAGGUUCUGCUCCACCCUAAGUCCAUCAAUGAGUACGGUAGUAUGGACAUGGCCCAUUGAGGGUGAAAGGCCCG
RNAcentral lists this ribosomal RNA (570 nucleotides) under Alloglossidium geminum. RNAcentral describes it as "eukaryotic LSU rRNA". The stretch from base 328 to 570 matches the Rfam family "Eukaryotic large subunit ribosomal RNA", at positions 1 to 223 of the family's 3401-position model. Lineage: Eukaryota; Metazoa; Platyhelminthes; Trematoda; Plagiorchiida; Alloglossidiidae. The record is from RNAcentral.